UAGCCGUAAACGAUACUCGCUAGGUGUCGGCCACGGUGCGACCGUUGUCGGUGCCGUAGGGAAGCCGUGAAGCGAGCCACCUGGGAAGUACGGCCGCAAGGCUGAAACUUAAAGGAAUUGGCGGGGGGAGCACAACAACGGGUGGAGCUUGCGGUUUAAUUGGAUUCAACGCCGGAAAUCUUACCGGGACCGACAGCAACAUGAAGGCCAAGCUGAAGACUUUGCCGGAUUAGCUGAGAGGAGGUGCAUGGCGUAGACGUCU
Molecule: ribosomal RNA, 262 nt
Filed under: uncultured archaeon
Lineage: Archaea
Description: partial 16S ribosomal RNA
Rfam family: Archaeal small subunit ribosomal RNA
Source: RNAcentral